AGAACGAACGCUGGCGGCAUGCCUAAUACAUGCAAGGCGAACGAACACUUCGGUGUUAGUGGCGCACGGGUGCGUAACGCGUGGGAAUCUGCCCUUGGGUUCGGAAUAACAGUUGGAAACGACUGCUAAUACCGGAUGAUAUCGAAAGAUCAAAGAUUUAUCGCCCAGGGAUGAGCCCGCGUAGGAUUAGCUAGUUGGUGAGGUAAAGGCUCACCAAGGCGACGAUCCUUAGCUGGUCUGAGAGGAUGAUCAGCCACACUGGGACUGAGACACGGCCCAGACUCCUACGGGAGGCAGCAGUAGGGAAUAUUGGACAAUGGGCGCAAGCCUGAUCCAGCAAUGCCGCGUGAGUGAUGAAGGCCUUAGGGUUGUAAAGCGUCUUUUACCCGAGAUGAUAAUGACAGUAAUCGGGAGAAUAAGCCCCGGCUAAACUCCGUUGCCCAGCAAGCCGAC
This 453-nucleotide ribosomal RNA is filed under the name uncultured soil bacterium. Its description in RNAcentral is "bacterial SSU rRNA". It matches the Rfam family "Bacterial small subunit ribosomal RNA", at positions 26 to 522 of the family's 1533-position model. The record is from RNAcentral.